AGUUGUAGGCUUUGCCUGCUAUCUCUUACCCAUGUCUUUUGAGUACCUUACGUUUCCUCGGUGGGUUCGCCCACCGAUUGGACAAAUUUAAACCCUUUGCAGUUGAAAUCAGCGUCUGAAAAAACUUAAUAGUUACAACUUUCAACAACGGAUCUCUUGGUUCUGGCAUCGAUGAAGAACGCAGCGAAAUGCGAUAAGUAGUGUGAAUUGCAGAAUUCAGUGAAUCAUCGAAUCUUUGAACGCACAUUGCGCCCCUUGGUAUUCCAUGGGGCAUGCCUGUUCGAGCGUCAUUUGUACCUUCAAGCUCUGCUUGGUGUUGGGUGUUUGUCUCCUGUAGACUCGCCUUAAAACAAUUGGCAGCCGGCGUAUUGAUUUCGGAGCGCAGUACAUCUCGCGCUUUGCACUCAUAGCGACGACAUCCAAAAGUACAUUUUUACACUCUUGACCU
RNAcentral lists this ribosomal RNA (448 nucleotides) under Epicoccum sorghinum. RNAcentral describes it as "eukaryotic LSU rRNA". The stretch from base 137 to 290 matches the Rfam family "5.8S ribosomal RNA". The record is from RNAcentral. Lineage: Eukaryota; Fungi; Ascomycota; Dothideomycetes; Pleosporales; Didymellaceae.